This 571-nucleotide unclassified non-coding RNA is filed under the name Rhagoletis pomonella (apple maggot). RNAcentral describes it as "uncharacterized LOC118736505, transcript variant X2". Lineage: Eukaryota; Metazoa; Arthropoda; Insecta; Diptera; Tephritidae. The record is from RNAcentral.
UUUUAAUCAUAUUUAUAUUUCAGAAAUCGUAUCCAAUUGAAAUUGAGCAGGCAUACGUCUUAGUACAAGCUUCCAGGCAUUAAACACAAUGCGUAUUUCCGUAUCACAAUUGGAGUUGUUGUCUGAGCAAAUUCAGUUGAAAGCUCCAUCAUUUGUGGUCACUACCAUCAAUCAAAACAAACACAUCCACGCGCAUUUAUAUCCAAUGGUGUUUAUUUACACCUUAGAAAUAUUUUCGAAUGUUCAUAAAACUUUGAUACUUCGUACAUACCCAGCCAGCAAGAAAACAUACAUUUUACGAACUUUUUAUCCACGACUUUUCAUCCAGUUUCUCUUCAAGAAAAUAUCCAGUUACGAGCUCGUUUACGAUGAUUUUGUUGGGUGGGUCUACAAAACGUCUAACAGCUAUGAUUGUGUCGCCCUUGCUUCUUUAUCGACUGCGCUAUUAAUAUUGUGGACUUUAUUGAAACUCUUUUUAGGUAUGUGCAUAUUUAACUAAAUUGUCCCUGUCAUGUGGGCAAGUGAUUUAAAUUAUGCACGCUUAAAAUAAAUACAUAUAUAAGCACGAGUG